Molecule: ribosomal RNA, 388 nt
Filed under: uncultured bacterium
Lineage: Bacteria
Description: bacterial SSU rRNA
Rfam family: Bacterial small subunit ribosomal RNA
Source: RNAcentral
GACGAACGCUGGCGGCGUGCUUAACACAUGCAAGUCGAGCGGUAAGGCCCUUUCGGGGGUACACGAGCGGCGAACGGGUGAGUAACACGUGGGUGACCUGCCCUUAGCUCUGGGAUAAGCCUGGGAAACUGGGUCUAAUACCGGAUAUGACUCCAUGAUGCAUGUUGUGGGGUGGAAAGCCUUGUGCGGCUAGGGAUGGGCCCGCGGCCUAUCAGCUUGUUGGUGGGGUGAUGGCCUACCAAGGCGACGACGGGUAGCCGGCCUGAGAGGGCGACCGGCCACACUGGGACUGAGACACGGCCCAGACUCCUACGGGAGGCAGCGGUGGGGAAUAUUGGACAAUGGGCGAAAGCCUGAUCCAGCGAUGCCGCGUGUGUGAAGAAGGCCU